CUCCCUCUUAUGGCAGAAUCCAGAGAAGGCAGAAUUGGGGUUUUCUAUAAUUGAUGAUUAAAGAUGAAAUAUAAUUGGAUUCUGACACUCCUUCUGAAUCAAAGUCCAGGGCAGGGAUGUGCUAUAGGCCUAGGGGCACCAUGUCACAGACAGCAUUUAGAUAUCAGUUGAAGAAAUGAUUCAAAUAUCUCCCCCCACUUCCCAGCAGAGCUAGGCAGUUGGGUGAUGGGCAACUAGGCAAUUAGUGGCAAGGCAUCUUUUCUCAAGCAGAAUAAAAUACCUGCACAGUAUAUGAAGCAACUAAAGUCCAAAGGCAUUAGGCAUUACCUAUUCUAUUGAGCAAUAAUGAACUUGGAUAACCAGUCAUUCAGCCAGAUGGACAAUAUCUGAUUCUUGCACUUCCUCCAUUUGACUACUAUUUCCUCUCAUUUCAACAGGCAGGCAGUAUUUUUUCCAUAUUAACAACACAAGGAAUAAAUAUCCUUAUCAUCUACUUUAUCUUGAUCCACUUAAAAUGAACUUCUUACUCCCCACUCAUCAUACAUUGGUCUGUUACUCUAACCACCAGCACUUCCCAUGGUGCUGGACCUGAACACAGAUGGUUGUUCCCCCAUAACAAGUUUCUAAAUGUAGUUCACAUACUGUAUUAGCUGAAGUUAGCAUGGUCAUAAACUCCAUAAUUGAAUCUGCUGGGUCUAUUUAUUGGCAUCACCAGCAUUGUCAACUGACAGGGUCUGUUUGUGCAGGAUUAUAUUAGUCAGCCUGGUAUUCUCUUGACUAGUAGAGCUUUUAUGGAUGAAGGCCGUAAGACUAUUGGUUAUUUCUACUAUGAUAUGAAAGGGAGGCAGAUACUAGACAAGUUCCAAAUUAUACUCCUCUUAAUUAUGAAGACUCAUGGCAACUUUUUCAUGGCAACUUCUUAUGCAAAGACAAGUCCUUGGUACUAUAAAAGUAAACUCUCACACUCAGUGAGAAAUCUAUAAGAACAAGUCUUAUAAAAAUAAAACACAGAAGGAAACUAGUUAGCCUGCUGAAAUGAGGGGACAGGCAAGAAAGAAAAUACUGUUAAAGAAAAUACUGUUUUUUUUAAGCAAGACUUAUGAUUAACUGCAGUUGCUAGAAUUAUUUUGGUAGUGUCCUCAACUUUCUCCGGUAAAUAUUGUCCUUCUUAUGAGCUUAUCUAAGCGUUUCCAGUUGUGACUGUGGUUCAGACCUGACAGAUUCUUUUCUGAGAAAAGACUUUGGAUGCACUCAGGAGAGCUGGGGCUUAAUGACAGCUGAGUUUUGUCAGUCCCAUUGAUUAAGCCAGACAGUGGCUGUAGCUUUUGAGUUCUGGGUAAGUACAAAGCUUGUCACACUGUGUGAUGCAAAAAGAAAGGAGACAAUGAUCUUUUCUGAUAUUUUCUACGGUAUCUUUACUUUCAAAGGCAUUCUAAAUGUCUACAAUAAGAGGAAUCAAGAGCAACUAUAGAGUACACAUACUUAAAGUCAGCAAGACAUCGAAACAAUGGUUUAGUUUUCACUUGUUUAUUUACUUUUCCAAAAGCUGAAUUCUGAUGGUUUAUUUUGGAUGGUUGACUCCUGGAGUUUUGGAAUUUGGCAUCUUUUAUUCAUCCUUGCACUUUGUGUUCCAUUCUUUUUUAUAUUUUCAUUUGUGGAAACUUCAGAAUGCAGCUGAAAUUGUAAAACACUCAAUGUUGAUUAGACUGCUAAACUUUGGUGUAUUGGGGCAACCUUCUAUUUGUGCUCUUAUGAAUUGUACAUUUUAUUUACCCACAUCUGAACUUACCACACUAUUUUAUUUAUUUUAGCAUUUCAAAUAUAUAAAGUUAUUUUGCCAAAUAGGCUAUGUCCAUGAUUCUUGAGUAAUCAUUUGCUACUGAAUACUAAAUAAGUAGUGUACAUAAUGUAGCAUUGUUAUUUUAAAAUAUAACAGACUUGAUUGCCUUAAGGAUCCAGCUUCUGCCGUGGCCAUUUAGUGUACAUUUGUGCUGCCCCUUUUUCUUUAGAGAUGAUUUUUUUUUCUUCAUUUCCUCAAUAUAAAAAGCUGCAGAAAAAAAUUCUUUGCUUUCUUCUUUCCUUUCCAUCUUCAGCCUGGCAGUGAGUCACCAAAUGCCCUUGUUACUUCCACCAGACUACUUCUGUACUCAGGAGCAUAUGUAAUAAGAUAUUUCAUUUGGGAAGCAACUAUUUGAUUACAUGAUUAACGUAAUGAUUAAGGUAAGUAUGGAUCUCAAUCUGAUUGACUGAAGUUUCAUUUUCAAGGAAACAGUACAACAUAAGCCAAAGUAAUAUAUAUGAAAAAACUGCAUAUUACCAAACUUACAAUUGAAGAACUGAAUAUUUAAAGUAUAUUUAAUAUUCUUUUAUACUGAGAAUAAAUGUAGCUAAAGGCUAAAUAAGCAUGUAACAGCUAUCAUGAACCUGAAAACAUAUAUUGUCUUGUCUAAUCCAGCAAUAAUUCCUGUGUACAGUUACAACUAUA
Molecule: long non-coding RNA, 2485 nt
Organism: Crotalus tigris (Tiger rattlesnake)
Lineage: Eukaryota; Metazoa; Chordata; Lepidosauria; Squamata; Viperidae
Exons: 3
Source: RefSeq, a predicted model, not a curated record